ACUGCGAAUGGCUCAUUAUAUAAGUUAUCGUUUAUUUGAUAGUACCUUACUACUUGGAUAACCGUGGUAAUUCUAGAGCUAAUACAUGCUAAAAAUCCCGACUUCGGAAGGGAUGUAUUUAUUAGAUUAAAAACCAAUGCCCUCUGGGCUCUCUGGUGAUUCAUGAUAACUUCUCGAAUCGCAUGGCCUUGCGCCGGCGAUGGUUCAUUCAAAUUUCUUCCCUAUCAACUUUCGAUGUUUGGGUAUUGGCCAAACAUGGUCGCAACGGGUAACGGAGGGUUAGGGCUCGACCCCGGAGAAGGAGCCUGAGAAACGGCUACUACAUCCAAGGAAGGCAGCAGGCGCGCAAAUUACCCAAUCCCGACACGGGGAGGUAGUGACAAUAAAUACUGAUACAGGGCUCUUUCGGGUCUUGUAAUUGGAAUGAGUACAAUUUAAAUCCCUUAACGAGGAACAAUUGGAGGGCAAGUCUGGUGCCAGCAGCCGCGGUAAUUCCAGCUCCAAUAGCGUAUAUUAAAGUUGUUGUGGUUAAAAAGCUCGUAGUUGAACCUUGGGCCUGGCUGGCCGGUCCGCCUCACCGCGUGUACUGGUCCGGCCGGGCCUUUCCCUCUGUGGAACCUCAUGCCCUUCACUGGGCGUGACGGGGAAACAGGACUUUUACUGUGAAAAAAUUAGAGUGCUCCAGGCAGGCCUAUGCUCGAAUACAUUAGCAUGGAAUAAUGAAAUAGGACGUGCGGUUCUAUUUUGUUGGUUUCUAGGACCGCCGUAAUGAUUAAUAGGGACAGUCGGGGGCAUCAGUAUUCAAUUGUCAGAGGUGAAAUUCUUGGAUUUAUUGAAGACUAACUACUGCGAAAGCAUUUGCCAAGGAUGUUUUCAUUAAUCAGGAACGAAAGUUAGGGGAUCGAAGACGAUCAGAUACCGUCGUAGUCUUAACCAUAAACUAUGCCGACUAGGGAUCGGACGAUGUAAAUAAUUGACUCGUUCGGCACCUUACGAGAAAUCAAAGUG
Molecule: ribosomal RNA, 1008 nt
Filed under: Simplicillium cylindrosporum
Lineage: Eukaryota; Fungi; Ascomycota; Sordariomycetes; Hypocreales; Cordycipitaceae
Description: SSU rRNA
Rfam family: Eukaryotic small subunit ribosomal RNA
Source: RNAcentral